This 64-nucleotide transfer RNA is filed under the name Lacosoma valva. RNAcentral describes it as "tRNA-Cys". Lineage: Eukaryota; Metazoa; Arthropoda; Insecta; Lepidoptera; Mimallonidae. The record is from RNAcentral.
AGUCUUAUAGUCAAACUGAUGAUAUAAAAUUGCAAAUUUUAAGUUAAAUUAAAUUUUAAGGCUU